CUGUCAGUCACCCGCCCGGAACCCCGAGGGGCAACUACCGCGCAGGCCUCGGGGCCCGGAACAAGGGUCCCGGGGCUCAGGAUCUCGGCCGCUGCGCCUCACUCCUGCCCCAGCCCCGCGCACGGAACUCGUUUCCUUCCCACCCAGUUCGGUUCGCUCAUCUCUGACUUCCCCAGUGGGUCAGACCCAUUUCAUACACUGGGACCAAUUCCGUUCCCUUGGGCUCCUGAUUGAUUCAACUAGUUGGAAGGAUGCUGAGGCAGGGGUGAAGGCUGGGGUGGCUGGCAGGCCAUGAGGGGCAGAGGACAUCAGCAGAGCCUGUUUCGUGCCCUCUGAGUCUCCACACACAGAUUUAUCGUUGAGACCUUCCCGAUUCCCCUACCAGGGAUGCCGGCUGGCCCUGCCGGCCUGCGGGGCCCAGCCUAAGUCAGGCUCAUCUUUUGGGACAGGAUCUCACUUGCAGCGCUACAGCCAGUCCCUCUUCUGGUUCUCACGCACCCACUUAAGGCGGAGUGACUGGCCUAAAAGUCCAAGCUGAUCGUGUGGCUUCCGUUCGCAAAUAUCUCCCCUGGAUCUCCCUCCCUGGAGCCAGACAAGACCCAAAACUCCGAAGGGAAUGCAGUCCCCGCAGGGCGCAAAGGAGAAACUAAUAGUCCGGAGCGGGGGUGAACUUAAAGACCUGGCUUUCAUUAGCGUGGUGUUGUAACAGACUGCCAAGGAGCCUCUGAGGAAAUGGACUUUACGUACAUAUACAUACUCGCCCUUGCCCCUGAAGCAACAUCAAAUACUUUCAUGUUAUUCUUGGGGGCGUUUUAAUUCUUCAGAUCCUCUGAAUUCGUGUUUUUGUACAUCUCUUUCCAACCUGGGCCUACACACUAACAAAUAGUUUUACAUCGAAGGACAAUGCUUAGUGUUUUAUUCAGUCUCAACUCUUUUCUUUCUUUUUUCUCGUUGUGUUUCAAAAUGUUUAUUUUUUCUGUCUUGUGAUAGUUUUGGAGGAAAAAAUAUUGAAAUAAUUCAAAUCAGGCUCUUAACUCUGCUUUAUUAAAUUUAUAGUCAUAGUAGCCUGUGAGUAUGCUUCGGGGGAGGAAAAAAGAAUGCUGGGGUCUUUAUUCUUCAAGUUCUCUAAGUUUGAUAUUUUGAAUAAACACCCAGAGGUGUCUCUG
Molecule: long non-coding RNA, 1166 nt
Organism: Gorilla gorilla gorilla (western lowland gorilla)
Lineage: Eukaryota; Metazoa; Chordata; Mammalia; Primates; Hominidae
Exons: 2
Source: RefSeq, a predicted model, not a curated record